AACGAACGCUGGCGGCAUGCCUAACACAUGCAAGUCGAACGAGACCUUCGGGUCUAGUGGCGCACGGGUGCGUCACGCGUCGGAACUUGCCUUUAGGUUCGGAAUACCUCAGUGAAAUUUGAGCUAAUACCGGAUGAUGUCUUCGGACCACAGAUUUAUCGCCUUUAGAUGGGCCCGCGUUGGAUUAGCUAGUUGGUGGGGUAAAGGCCUACCAAGGCGACGAUCCCUAGCUGGUCUGGGAGGAUGAUCAGCCACACUGGGACUGGGACACGGCCCAGACUCCUACGGGAGGCAGCAGUGGGGAAUAUUGGACAAUGGGCGAAAGCCUGAUCCAGCGAUGCCGCGUGAGUGAUGAAGGCCUUAGGGUUGUAAAGCUCUAUUACCCGGGAUGAUAAUGACGGUACCGGAAGAAUAAGCUCCGGCUAACUCCGUG
RNAcentral lists this ribosomal RNA (433 nucleotides) under uncultured bacterium. RNAcentral's name for it is "partial 16S ribosomal RNA". It matches the Rfam family "Bacterial small subunit ribosomal RNA", at positions 29 to 507 of the family's 1533-position model. The record is from RNAcentral.